GCGACAGAUCACGACUCCAUCUCAAAAUAAAUAAAUAAAUAAAUUAUACAUUGGGCUCUUUUGCCUUUUAUUCUUGUGCUUUCUAAUCACAACUAAACACUAAACUCACAUCUUGGCUUUGCAGAUCACUCUAAGCUUGGCUGCAGCUGUGGUGCUGAGGAGGCUAAUAGAGAAGCUCCCUCGCUCUCAACCCCACCCCUUCCUUCCGGGAGCAAACCCAAGUCUGGUCCCGACUCCGGAUCCCUCCCACAUUAGACCUACCACACCCUCAGGGCAGACAACAGCUCCACACACCCCACACUCAGCCACCAGGGCAAGGGAGCAAAAUUCCAGAAAGCUCAGCCUCCAGGAUAUUAUGUGUGCACCGGCGUGGGAUCCUGGAACUGGCAGGAAUUGUGGGUUGUGUUAGUCCCUAGACUCCCAUCGCCUAUAUGAAAUAUGGUUCCUUUUGUGGCUUGGGAGGCCAUGGCCAGCCCUGCGAUGCCAUUGACUGGUGCUGCCAUGGCCACGACUGUUGUUACACUCGAGCUGAGGAGGCCGGCUGCAGCCCCAAGACAGAGCGCUACUCCUGGCAGUGCGUCAAUCAGAGCGUCCUGUGCG
Molecule: long non-coding RNA, 600 nt
Filed under: Homo sapiens (human)
Lineage: Eukaryota; Metazoa; Chordata; Mammalia; Primates; Hominidae
Description: HSALNT0385228
Source: RNAcentral